CAUGCAUCAGUGGGGUCCCUUGGCCUGGCCUGUGCCCUCUCGCAAUCCAGGACCCUUUGAGAGAUGUCAGAGAGCCGGUUUCAGCCCAAUCCUGCAGGCCAGGCCGAGGGACCCCACUGGUGCACA
RNAcentral lists this microRNA precursor (126 nucleotides) under Myotis lucifugus (little brown bat). RNAcentral's name for it is "mir-9193 microRNA precursor family". It matches the Rfam family "mir-9193 microRNA precursor family". Lineage: Eukaryota; Metazoa; Chordata; Mammalia; Chiroptera; Vespertilionidae. The record is from Rfam by way of RNAcentral.